UACGUAGGGUGCAAGCGUUGUCCGGAAUUAUUGGGCGUAAAGAGCUCGUAGGCGGUUUGUCGCGUCGGCUGUGAAAACUCGGGGCUCAACCCCGAGCCUGCAGUCGAUACGGGCAAACUCGAGUGCGGUAGGGGAGACUGGAAUUCCUGGUGUAGCGGUGAAAUGCGCAGAUAUCAGGAGGAACACCGGUGGCGAAGGCGGGUCUCUAGUACGGUACUGACGCUGAGACGCGAAAGCGUGGGGAGCGAACAGG
This 253-nucleotide ribosomal RNA is filed under the name uncultured bacterium. RNAcentral describes it as "partial 16S ribosomal RNA". It matches the Rfam family "Bacterial small subunit ribosomal RNA", at positions 524 to 776 of the family's 1533-position model. The record is from RNAcentral.